RNAcentral lists this ribosomal RNA (497 nucleotides) under uncultured bacterium. RNAcentral describes it as "partial 16S ribosomal RNA". It matches the Rfam family "Bacterial small subunit ribosomal RNA", at positions 28 to 507 of the family's 1533-position model. The record is from RNAcentral.
GAUGAACGCUGGCGGCGUGCCUAAUACAUGCAAGUCGAGCGAACGGACGAGAAGCUUGCUUCUCUGAUGUUAGCGGCGGACGGGUGAGUAACACGUGGAUAACCUACCUAUAAGACUGGGAUAACUUCGGGAAACCGGAGCUAAUACCGGAUGAUAUUUUGAACCGCAUGGUUCAAAAGUGAAAGACGGUCUUGCUGUCACUUAUAGAUGGAUCCGCGCUGCAUUAGCUAGUUGGUAAGGUAACGGCUUACCAAGGCAACGAUGCAUAGCCGACCUGAGAGGGUGAUCGGCCACACUGGAACUGAGACACGGUCCAGACUCCUACGGGAGGCAGCAGUAGGGAAUCUUCCGCAAUGGGCGAAAGCCUGACGGAGCAACGCCGCGUGAGUGAUGAAGGUCUUCGGAUCGUAAAACUCUGUUAUUAGGGAAGAACAUAUGUGUAAGUAACUGUGCACAUCUUGACGGUUCCUAAUCAGAAAGCCACGGCUAACUACGUG